GACGAACGCUGGCGGCGUGCCUAAUACAUGCAAGUCGAGCGGACGAAUCGAAAGCUUGCUUUUGAUUCGUUAGCGGCGGACGGGUGAGUAACACGUGGGCAACCUGCCCUGUAGACGGGGAUAACACCGAGAAAUCGGUGCUAAUACCGGAUAACACGAAAUGUCGCAUGACGUUUCGUUGAAAGACGGCGCAGGCUGCCGCUACAGGAUGGGCCCGCGGCGCAUUAGCUAGUUGGUGAGGUAACGGCUCACCAAGGCGACGAUACGUAGCCGACCUGAGAGGGUGAUCGGCCACACUGGGACUGAGACACGGCCCAGACUCCUACGGGAGGCAGCAGUAGGGAAUCUUCCGCAAUGGACGAAAGUCUGACGGAGCAACGCCGCGUGAGCGAAGAAGGCCUUCGGGUCGUAAAGCUCUGUUGUUAGGGAAGAACAAGUAACGCAGUAACUGGCGUUACCGUGACGGUACCUAACGAGAAAGCCACGGCUAACUACGUG
Molecule: ribosomal RNA, 498 nt
Filed under: uncultured bacterium
Lineage: Bacteria
Description: partial 16S ribosomal RNA
Rfam family: Bacterial small subunit ribosomal RNA
Source: RNAcentral